GAGAAGAUGGAGGAUGAAGAACAGGUGGAAUUCAGGGAUGAAGAAAAAAGAACAAUACGAUGGAGGAUGAAGAACGGGUCGGCUUUAGGGUUUUCAAUUACAAAAUAAAACAUAUUGUAAAUUUUUAUCUAACUAAUUUUAAAUGACAAUUAAAACUUGUUUUUAUUUGUAAAUUAUUCUAAAUAAUUGUUAAGUUUAUGAGGGACUUGUGUGCAAUAAUUAAAGUUUUCAGUAAAAAGUCUUAUCAUGUACCUUCAUUACAAUGUAGAGCUGAUGUGGCAUCACUUAAAAUUCUAUUGGGCAAUUCAAUUGACCUC
RNAcentral lists this long non-coding RNA (317 nucleotides) under Trifolium pratense (red clover). RNAcentral's name for it is "long non-coding RNA (TPRA_LNC007071)". Lineage: Eukaryota; Viridiplantae; Streptophyta; Magnoliopsida; Fabales; Fabaceae. The record is from RNAcentral.